AUGGGGGCACCCUGAUCCAGCCAUGCCGCGUGUGUGAAGAAGGCCCUCGGGUUGUAAAGCACUUUCAGCGAGGAAGAACGCCUGUCGGUUAAUACCCGGCAGGAAAGACAUCACUCGCAGAAGAAGCACCGGCUAACUCCGUGCCAGCAGCCGCGGUAAUACGGAGGGUGCAAGCGUUAAUCGGAAUUACUGGGCGUAAAGCGCGCGUAGGUGGCUUGAUAAGCCGGUUGUGAAAGCCCCGGGCUCAACCUGGGAACGGCAUCCGGAACUAUCAGGCUAGAGUGCAGGAGAGGAAGGUAGAAUUCCCGGUGUAGCGGUGAAAUGCGUAGAGAUCGGGAGGAAUACCAGUGGCGAAGGCGGCCUUCUGGACUGACACUGACACUGAGGUGCGAAAGCGUGGGUAGCAAACAGGAUUAGAUACCCUGGUAGUCCACGCCGUAAACGAUGUCGACCAGCCGUUGGGUGCCUAGCGCACUUUGUGGCGAAGUUAACGCGAUAAGUCGACCGCCUGGGGAGUACGGCCGCAAGGUUAAAACUCAAAUGAAUUGACGGGGGCCCGCACAAGCGGUGGAGCAUGUGGUUUAAUUCGAUGCAACGCGAAGAACCUUACCUACCCUUGACAUCCUGCGAACUUGUGAGAGAUCACUUGGUGCCUUCGGGAGCGCAGAGACAGGUGCUGCAUGGCUGUCGUCAGCUCGUGUUGUGAAAUGUUGGGUUAAGUCCCGUAACGAGCGCAACCCUUGUCCUUAUUUGCCAGCACGUAAUGGUGGGAACUCUAAGGAGACUGCCGGUGACAAACCGGAGGAAGGUGGGGACGACGUCAAGUCAUCAUGGCCCUUACGGGUAGGGCUACACACGUGCUACAAUGGCCGGUACAAAGGGCUGCGAACUCGCGAGAGCAAGCGAAUCCCUUAAAGCCGGUCUCAGUCCGGAUCGGAGUCUGCAACUCGACUCCGUGAAGUCGGAAUCGCUAGUAAUCGUGCAUCAGAAUGGCACGGUGAAUACGUUCCCGGGCCUUG
RNAcentral lists this ribosomal RNA (1019 nucleotides) under Halomonas sp. MM93. RNAcentral describes it as "bacterial SSU rRNA". It matches the Rfam family "Bacterial small subunit ribosomal RNA", at positions 371 to 1383 of the family's 1533-position model. The record is from RNAcentral. Lineage: Bacteria; Pseudomonadati; Pseudomonadota; Gammaproteobacteria; Oceanospirillales; Halomonadaceae.